GGCGGCAGGCCUAACACAUGCAAGUCGAGCGGAUGAGUGGAGCUUGCUCCAUGAUUCAGCGGCGGACGGGUGAGUAAUGCCUAGGAAUCUGCCUGGUAGUGGGGGACAACGUUUCGAAAGGAACGCUAAUAGGGAUACGUCCUAUGGGGGGAAGUGGGGGAUCUUCGGACCUCACCCUAUCAGAUGAGCCUAGGUCGGAUUAGCUAGUUGGUGAGGUAAAGGUCCCCCAAGGCGAGGAUCCGUAACUGGUCUGAAGGGAUGAUCAGUUCCACUGGAACUGAGACCCGGUCCAGACUCCUACGGGAGGCAGCAGUGGGGAAUAUUGGACAAUGGGGGAAAGCCUGAUCCACCCAUGCCGGGUGUGUGAAGAAGGUUUUCGGAUUGUAAAGCCCUUUAAGUUGGGAGGAAGGGCAGUAAGUUAAUACCUUGCUGUUUUGACGUUACCAACAGAAUAAGCCCCGGCUAACUUCGUGCCAGCAGCCGCGGUAAUACGAAGGGUGCAAGCGUUAAUCGGAAUUACUGGGCGUAAAGCGCGCGUAGGUGGUUCGUUAAGUUGGAUGUGAAAGCCCCGGGCUCAACCUGGGAACUGCAUCCAAAACUGGCGAGCUAGAGUAUCGCAGAGGGUGGUGGAAUUUCCUGUGUAGCGGUGAAAUGCGUAGAUAUAGGAAGGAACACCAGUGGCGAAGGCGACCACCUGGGCUAAUACUGACACUGAGGUGCGAAAGCGUGGGGAGCAAACAUGAUUAGAUACCCUGGUAGUCCACGCCGUAAACGAUGUCGACUAGCCGUUGGGAUCCUUGAGAUCUUAGUGGCGCAGCUAACGCAUUAAGUCGACCGCCUGGGGAGUACGGCCGCAAGGUUA
This 862-nucleotide ribosomal RNA is filed under the name Stutzerimonas stutzeri. RNAcentral describes it as "bacterial SSU rRNA". It matches the Rfam family "Bacterial small subunit ribosomal RNA", at positions 38 to 896 of the family's 1533-position model. The record is from RNAcentral. Lineage: Bacteria; Pseudomonadati; Pseudomonadota; Gammaproteobacteria; Pseudomonadales; Pseudomonadaceae.